GACGAACGCUGGCGGCGUGCUUAACACAUGCAAGUCGAGCGGUAAGGCCCUUUCGGGGGUACACGAGCGGCGAACGGGUGAGUAACACGUGGGUGACCUGCCCUCAGCUCUGGGAUAAGCCUGGGAAACCGGGUCUAAUACUGGAUAUGACUCCAUGACGCAUGUUGUGGGGUGGAAAGCCUUGUGCGGCUGAGGAUGGGCCCGCGGCCUAUCAGCUUGUUGGUGGGGUGANGGCCUACCAAGGCGACGACGGGUAGGCGGCCUGAGAGGGCGACCGGCCACACUGGGACUGAGACACGGCCCAGACUCCUACGGGAGGCAGCAGUGGGGAAUCUUGCGCAAUGGGCGAAAGCCUGACGCAGCGACGCCGCGUGAGGGAUGACGGCCUCGG
This 391-nucleotide ribosomal RNA is filed under the name uncultured bacterium. Its description in RNAcentral is "bacterial SSU rRNA". It matches the Rfam family "Bacterial small subunit ribosomal RNA", at positions 28 to 420 of the family's 1533-position model. The record is from RNAcentral.